RNAcentral lists this long non-coding RNA (324 nucleotides) under Betta splendens (Siamese fighting fish). Its description in RNAcentral is "lncRNA (ENSBSLG00000001652.1)". The record is from RNAcentral. Lineage: Eukaryota; Metazoa; Chordata; Actinopteri; Anabantiformes; Osphronemidae.
CGUCUGGGAGACGACCGCGGGACGCCCUGACAUCAGCCUCUGCAGCCGGAGCUGCGCUGAGCUGCUGGACUGAAGGCUUCUCUGACCUUAAGGCUUAGCGCUGGUUCAGGCUGCUUCGACAAGUGUUAUUAACGCUGAGCAUCCUUGAUGUGAAGCAGCCAGCGUCGACGGACAACGCGGCCGCGUGCGACCGUGACCUCGGAGGAAGAACGGAGAGAACGGAGGCCGUCGUCGGAGCAAUUGUCACAGAAAAUGAAGUUAUCCCACGUGAAGUUAUCCGUAAGUCCGUAUUCAGAUUCUGCGCCUGCCGAGAUCCUCUCUCUU